Hemicordylus capensis (graceful crag lizard) is the source of this 655-nucleotide long non-coding RNA. RefSeq lists it as uncharacterized. The record is from RefSeq and is a predicted model, not a curated record. NCBI's taxonomy places the organism in Eukaryota, Metazoa, Chordata, Lepidosauria, Squamata, Cordylidae. The transcript is spliced from 2 exons.
GGGAGCGAGCGAGCCUCGCGUCUGUCUGUCAGACCCAGAGUAGGGUCGGCUGCACCAGCAGCCCCCAGGAGGAGCUGCGGGGAGGCAGGUGUGAGGAAAAGCAAGAGCCGCUGACCCGCAGAAAUUCCGAUCCUCAACUUUCAUGGGCACUUAUUUAUGGGGUCUCAGCUGCAGCAGGUCCCGCAGGACUCCUUGUAUCCAUACGCACGUGUAUGUCCAUGUUGUGUGAGACAGUGUGUAUUCUUAGUAGGAUCCUAGAAUUGAGAGCGAGCGAAAGGCAAUGUAGGGCCACCAGCAGCAGCAGACGACGACAAAAAUCAAGGUUACCCACAUCAACCAGACUGUACUAGAGAAAAAGAUGUACUGUAGCAAAGUGUAUCCCACAAUUUGAGAGAAGGAGAUAGCCAUGAGGGUGAAAUCCCUCCAGCUGACUGUGAUGGAGCAGAAAAACCUUUGGCAGCUUAGAAGAGGCAAAGAAGCAAAGAGAGAAAAUAGAGCUAAGAUGUUGGAGUUAGUGGAAAUUGGGGAGGCAGCUCUGUGAGGGAGUGGGGGCUGUCCAAGCUGCUUUUUGGGAGACCUUUUGCCUUAUAAAUGUCUGUCACUUUCAUUUAUGCUCUGCUUGUUAUGUCUGCAAAUAAAGCAAUUACAAAACUGU